Long non-coding RNA from Mesocricetus auratus (golden hamster), 1563 nucleotides. RefSeq lists it as uncharacterized. The transcript has 3 exons. NCBI's taxonomy places the organism in Eukaryota, Metazoa, Chordata, Mammalia, Rodentia, Cricetidae. The record is from RefSeq and is a predicted model, not a curated record.
GCCCAAGACAGCUCAGAGGGCUGCGGGGUUGGGCCACGGAGCUCUCCAGCUGACACAAUGCCAGCUACGGGGUACAUCCUGCUAGAGCAGCUAGACACAAAGGGCUGGGGAGGAGGGGCAGCAGCCUGGGGAUUCUGGCACCAGGACCAAUGACACAAGGCGCAGAAGACACGCCACAGUAUGCUGGCUGCAAGGCUCCCCUAAUGAGAGGCAUCAGUUUCCCUAAGCGUGGGUUCUUUGGAGAUACUUCGGACCAUCCCCCAAAGCAUGCGCGGACUCCAGAGAUAGGGUCUCUGGCUGAUCAGUGGGAGCCGGUGUAUAAAAGCUGUGAACGACUGGGAACUACGGUUGGGCAGGAGUGCAGAAUGGAAUGCUCUCCCCUCAAGGUGGCCUUCCAGAAAGAAAUGCAUAAACUAUGAUAAGUCAAUGCACUUGAAAGCAAGGACACGCAUGAAGGGAAUGCCCUGGUAUGUCCCAUGAUCUCUGUGGGAAAGGCAAAGGCCUGGAAGGAAUGUACUUGGUUCUUUUCUCAUGACCAAAGGUGAUAAGACAUAACGCCAGGUGUAUUCCCUCACUGUACUUGUAUUUGCUUAAGCUAACUGUACACAUCACCACAUGUUUUGCUUGCUUUAAUAAUAAAAUGAGAAGUGCUUUGUUUGCACUUCUCUUGAGCUCAAACACUUGUGUGCCCCCCUUUAUCUGCAGAGACUGAACCUCGAUGGCAAGAGAGGGUUGACACUAAACCUAGAGCUAGGCUGCCACUCAUCAAAUGCCAGCGCUCCUCCUGUUUUUGUCCCCACAGCUCUGCAGUGCAGGCACACGUGUGAUCACACCUGGCUUUCUAUGUCGGUUAUAGGGAUUUGAACUCAGAUCUUCGAGCUUGCCCAGCAAGUGCUGUUACCAAUUAAGGCAUCUCUCAAACCCCAUUUUUGUACUUCCUUGUAGUCCCCUUAGUCACAAAUUAAGUCUGGGGACAUAGGUUGGUAGUAGAGGUCUUAGUAUGCUUGAGGCCCUAGGGUCAAUCCUCAGCACUCUGGGGGACAGGAGCAGAAAAGUCUUUGAGAUCCAUCAUGUCAUAUGCAGCCAUAAUUGUUUUCAUUCUCAGGGCCAUACAGCAUUUCAGGCUGGGAUGAAGUCACGAUUUACACGCUCAUUCCCUUUUCUGUGGAUGGGUGGACAGGUACCAGUUUGGACUAUGACAAACAUUCUAUGCACUCUAGUAUUUGCACGAACAUUUGCACAUGACUUUCUGAGGUAGAUACCUAAGAAUGCAGCUGGGCUGUGGCGUGCUCUGCUUCCGGAGUGGCUGCCAAUGCCUUCUGAAAGAAGCCUUCAGUUUCCACUCCCAUCAGCAGGAUACAGGGAGUCAAGACACUUUCGAAUCAAAUGACAUGGCUGAUCCCACCACAGGCAGCACUCUGGUAAGUGCAACUACAGCUUUGAGAUAUAGCCAGACAUCUCAAAAAAUUGAAAGACAGAUUUCACUGGCUACCAGAAAUCUUUUGUUUCAUUACAAUAAACAAACAAAACCAAAAUGAAACAAAACAACUACAGCAAAAACCA